This 496-nucleotide ribosomal RNA is filed under the name Lachesis stenophrys. RNAcentral describes it as "partial 16S large subunit ribosomal RNA". It matches the Rfam family "Bacterial large subunit ribosomal RNA", at positions 1843 to 2609 of the family's 2925-position model. The record is from RNAcentral. Lineage: Eukaryota; Metazoa; Chordata; Lepidosauria; Squamata; Viperidae.
GUAUUAAAGGCAACGCUGCCCAGUGAAAAUUAAACGGCCGCGGUAUCCUAACCGUGCAAAGGUAGCAUAAUCAUUUGUCUAUUAAUUGUAGACCUGUAUGAAAGGCAAAAUGAGAGCCUGACUGUCUCUUAUAACAAAUCAAUUAAACUGAUCUCUUAGUACAAAAGCUAAGAUACUAACAUAAGACCAGAAGACCCUGUGAAGCUUUAAUUAACCUAUUAAACCUAAUAAUAAUUACUUUCGGUUGGGGCGACCUUGGAAUAAAAAAGAACUUCCAACAUAUGACUUCUCAUAAAAUAAGGCAAACAAGCCAAUAUUAGACCCAGUACUACUGAUAAUUGAAAUAAGUUACUCCAGGGAUAACAGCGCCAUCUUCUUUAAGAAGCCAUAUCAAAAAGAAGGUUUACGACCUCGAUGAAGGAUCAGGACACCCCAGUAAUGCAGCCGUUACUAAAGGUUCGUUUGUUCAACGAUUAAUAGUCCUACGUGAUCUGAG